CCUACGGGAGGCAGCAGUGAGGAAUAUUGGUCAAUGGACGCAAGUCUGAACCAGCCAUGCCGCGUGCAGGAUGACGGCUCUAUGAGUUGUAAACUGCUUUUGUACGAGGGUAAACCCCGAUACGUGUAUCGGGUUGAAAGUAUCGUACGAAUAAGGAUCGGCUAACUCCGUGCCCGCAGCCGCGGUAAUACGGCGGAUCCGAGCGUUAUCCGGAUUUAUUGGGUUUAAAGGGUGCGUAGGCGGUUUGUUAAGUUAGAGGUGAAAUGUCGGGGCUCAACCCCGGAACUGCCUCUAAUACUGGUGGGCUAGAGAAUAGUUGCGGUAGGCGGAAUGUAUGGUGUAGCGGUGAAAUGCAUAGAGAUCAUACAGAACACCGAUUGCGAAGGCAGCUUACCAACCUAUAUCUGACGUUGAGGCACGAAAGCGUGGGUAGCAAACAGGAUUAGAUACCCCUGUAGUC
RNAcentral lists this ribosomal RNA (460 nucleotides) under uncultured bacterium. RNAcentral describes it as "partial 16S ribosomal RNA". It matches the Rfam family "Bacterial small subunit ribosomal RNA", at positions 338 to 795 of the family's 1533-position model. The record is from RNAcentral.